CAUUGACUUUCUGGUGCUACAACAGUUUUACAAUGAGGCCAAAGAACGCAACUGGCAGCCUGGUCAGCAUUUCAGGAGCAUCAUUGAUGAUGCUUGGUGGUUUGGUUCGGUGGAGUGUCAGGAGCCAUUUCAAUCUGACUAUCCAGACAGCCUCUUUCAGUGCUACAUUGUCAGGUGGGAUAAUGGAGAGAGAGAGAAAAUGAGUCCAUGGGAUAUAGAGCCCAUACCUGAAGAAGCUCCACUUCCAGAGGAACAUGGGGGCAGUGUCCCGGUCACAGAGGACGAGCUUCAGGCCCUGCUGUACACCCCUCAGGAGGGAGAGUGGGGGCUGCACACACGAGAUGACGAGUGCGAGAGAGUCAUCACAGCCAUAGAUCAGCUGCUAACACUCGGUAUGGCAAAU
Sinocyclocheilus rhinocerous is the source of this 403-nucleotide long non-coding RNA. RefSeq lists it as uncharacterized. Lineage: Eukaryota; Metazoa; Chordata; Actinopteri; Cypriniformes; Cyprinidae. The record is from RefSeq and is a predicted model, not a curated record. The transcript is spliced from 4 exons.